UACGUAGGGUGCGAGCGUUGUCCGGAAUUACUGGGCGUAAAGAGCUCGUAGGUGGUUUGUCGCGUUGUCCGUGAAAACUCACAACUCAAUUGUGGGCGUGCGGGCGAUACGGGCAGACUGGAGUACUGCAGGGGAGACUGGAAUUCCUGGUGUAGCGGUGAAAUGCGCAGAUAUCAGGAGGAACACCGGUGGCGAAGGCGGAUCUCUGGGCCUUACCUGACGCUCAGGUGCGAAAGCUAGGGGAGCGAACAGG
RNAcentral lists this ribosomal RNA (253 nucleotides) under uncultured bacterium. RNAcentral describes it as "partial 16S ribosomal RNA". It matches the Rfam family "Bacterial small subunit ribosomal RNA", at positions 524 to 776 of the family's 1533-position model. The record is from RNAcentral.